Molecule: non-coding RNA, 583 nt
Organism: Camellia sinensis
Lineage: Eukaryota; Viridiplantae; Streptophyta; Magnoliopsida; Ericales; Theaceae
Source: RefSeq, a predicted model, not a curated record
CACAAUCGAAGCACCAACUCUAGAUUUUUCUUAAUCUUUUGAAGAAUCAAAGCAUGGGGUUUAUUUUCUUGAUGGAUUAGAGGCUUGUAAUUGGAUUGGAGGAAGGCAUCUCUCCACCUCUUGGAAAUUAAUUUGUAGAGUUUCAAAUCUACACUUUUGCUAUUUUUGGAGAUUCAUAGACUUUUGUGUGGCUCGCCUCAACUUGAAAGACUAUAAUUUUUUUGAAGGAUCACAGGUGGGCAUCUUGUGGUUGAGGUUUUGCUUAGGGUCAUUCUAGGAUGCAAGCUUACCCUUUUUUUUAUGAAGGAGGUUGAUUGUAAAUAUUGCUUAUGAAGUUGGAUGUAUUGAUGGAUUCGUGAUUAGUAUGUAUUAUAUUUUUUUUGGGAGGAAAUGCUUGGGAACUAUCUUGUAGCAUGAUAAUACUUUUUUGUCUUUGAAUAGAUCAUCUCAUAUAUGUCAGGCAAUUGAAAGGUCUUAUGCACCUUUGGUGAUGUGGUGAUGUGAUGUAUGAAUUAUACAGGAAUUGUGGUGUAAAGGUGCUAUAGCGUUUGAGGUGCACCCUCUUGGCAGGGUUUUGCCUUGC